GGUCCCCCCGGGCGUCGAUGAAUGUGGGGUACCAUUCCUUGAUGAUGUGGUCAUGUUUGUAGUCGGCCUUAUUGUCCUUUAGAUGUUCCACGGUGUUCCGCUCGCUCUUCUCAUAGGCCUCCCGGGGCUUCCGGACAGACACCUUGCAUUCUCGGACCUUGUUGACGAUGAAUUCUUGGAUGAGAAACCUGAUAUCUUCCAUGAGAGAUAACUAAACAGCCAUAGGACAGUACAGAACAAAUGUGGGCAAAAGUCAAAUCUACAAAUGAUGAACUCUUCCCUUUAUAUCCAACCCAAUAGGCAGUCAUCAUAAAGAAGUCUGAAUAUCUUGGUUGAGAGCUAGACUUUGGAAACAGAGAGACCCUGUAUAAUAACAGACUAAGAAGUAAGGAAGACAAGCCCAGCCAGUCCCACAACUAUUUCAUUAAUACCAGGUAAAGCAACAGACCUGCCAGUGAAGCAUCUUGGAUCCUUUAGCUUUAGUAAUGUUCUUGUAGUAAUUUUGGAAGUCAAUACUUUCCUUAAGAAUACUAAAGUUUUCUUUUGGGAAAAGAGAAAAACUGAGGAGAGGAAACAAACUGCUCUUAUACCUUCUUCCAUGGUCUUUGGAUGAAGGUUAAGUUAUGGGCCCCAAAAGUGGGCUAGCCUCAUUUGGAUAAUACUCCAUCCUAAGCAGUAUGGUUUUGAAUAAGUUGCUGAGACUUUCUGUGCCUCCAUUUGUAAAUGGUAUAAUAAUACCUAGUUCAUGGAAUUGUUGUGAGAAUGACAUAAGUGAAAGUAUGUAUAUUUCCAUGUUCUAUAUAAACUGGUUUUCUACAAAUUACAAAGCAACAACUAACCAAGUUAAUUGAAAUCGAGUACUUUAUUCAAGUAAUAAAUAUCUGGUAUUUACAAAUCAAAAUUGAAAAUCAUAGUACAUAACGAAAAUUCAUAUAUACAGAUCAACAAAUAUAGUAAUUUAAAACAC
Homo sapiens (human) is the source of this 967-nucleotide long non-coding RNA. The record is from Ensembl. NCBI's taxonomy places the organism in Eukaryota, Metazoa, Chordata, Mammalia, Primates, Hominidae.